Molecule: ribosomal RNA, 625 nt
Filed under: Escherichia coli
Lineage: Bacteria; Pseudomonadati; Pseudomonadota; Gammaproteobacteria; Enterobacterales; Enterobacteriaceae
Description: partial 23S ribosomal RNA
Rfam family: Bacterial large subunit ribosomal RNA
Source: RNAcentral
ACUGCGAAUACCGGAGAAUGUUAUCACGGGAGACACACGGCGGGUGCUAACGUCCGUCGUGAAGAGGGAAACAACCCAGACCGCCAGCUAAGGUCCCAAAGUCAUGGUUAAGUGGGAAACGAUGUGGGAAGGCCCAGACAGCCAGGAUGUUGGCUUAGAAGCAGCCAUCAUUUAAAGAAAGCGUAAUAGCUCACUGGUCGAGUCGGCCUGCGCGGAAGAUGUAACGGGGCUAAACCAUGCACCGAAGCUGCGGCAGCGACGCUGAUGCGUUGUUGGGUAGGGGAGCGUUCUGUAAGCCUGCGAAGGUGUGCUGUGAGGCAUGCUGGAGGUAUCAGAAGUGCGAAUGCUGACAUAAGUAACGAUAAAGCGGGUGAAAAGCCCGCUCGCCGGAAGACCAAGGGUUCCUGUCCAACGUUAAUCGGGGCAGGGUGAGUCGACCCCUAAGGCGAGGCCGAAAGGCGUAGUCGAUGGGAAACAGGUUAAUAUUCCUGUACUUGGUGUUACUGCGAAGGGGGGACGGAGAAGGCUAUGUUGGCCGGGCGACGGUUGUCCCGGUUUAAGCGUGUAGGCUGGUUUUCCAGGCAAAUCCGGAAAAUCAAGGCUGAGGCGUGAUGACGAGGCACUA